UAUGACCAUAUCACGACGAAACACCGGUUCUCGUACGAUCACCGAAGUUAAGCAACGUAGAACUUGGUCAGUAACUAGAUGGGUUACCACUUGCAAAUGCCAGGUUCUGUAAG
Molecule: non-coding RNA, 113 nt
Organism: Acanthosepion pharaonis
Lineage: Eukaryota; Metazoa; Mollusca; Cephalopoda; Sepiida; Sepiidae
Source: the annotation of a GenBank genome assembly